RNAcentral lists this ribosomal RNA (465 nucleotides) under uncultured bacterium. RNAcentral's name for it is "partial 16S ribosomal RNA". It matches the Rfam family "Bacterial small subunit ribosomal RNA", at positions 338 to 795 of the family's 1533-position model. The record is from RNAcentral.
CCUAGGGUGGCACCAGUGGGGAAUAUUGGACAAUGGGGGAAACCCUGAUCCAGCAAUGCCGCGUGUGUGAAGAAGGCCUGCGGGUUGUAAAGCACUUUCGGUUGGGAGGACUGCUUCUAGCACUAAUAUUGUUGGAAGUUGACGUUACCUUCAGAAGAAGCACCGGCUAACUCCGUACCAGCAGCCGCGGUAAUACGGGGGGUGCAAGCGGUAAUCGGAAUUACUGGGCGUAAAGCGCGCGUAGGCGGCUAGAUCAGUCGGGUGUGAAAGCCCCGGGCUUAACCUGGGAACUGCAUCCGAUACUGUCUAGCUUGAGUACAGGAGAGGAGAGUGGAAUUCCACAUGUAGCGGUGACAUGCGUAGAUAUGUGGAGGAACACCAAUGGCGAAGGCAGCUCUCUGGCCUGAUACUGACGCUGAGGUGCGAAAGCGUGGGGAGCAAACAGGAUUAGAUACCCCCGUAGUC